AACAAUGCCGACUGGUGACACCCAGGGGGAGAGCCUUCUCUGUGGGGGCAUCAGCCCUCUGGAAUGAGCUGCCCCUAGAGCUCCAUCUUAGCCCUGACCUACGUACUUUUCACCACGCCCUUAAGACCUUCCUGUUCCAGCAAGCCGGACUGGCCUAAUAUGAAUUUUAUUAUGGGUUUUCCAGGUAACAAAUAAUGACAAAUAAGACAUACCUGAAUGAACAGAGAUGAUCACUGUGGCUAAGACCAAAGCAUUGGAGAGUAGACUGGUCCCACAAAACCUUUCCAGAUAAGGAGAGAAGAUCUACAACUUGUGUUCCAGAUGGCUACUUCAGAUGGAGACUACAAGACCCACUGUUUGCCACAGAUUUAAAUACCAGGAGAUGGAGGGAACCAUCAUGCUCUCAACCAUCAUCAUCUACUGGAGAUUUUUGAAAAAUACGAUGAAAAAAAUAGCAGCUUCAGUCUCAUCAAUGAUGCAUCCUUCUGUGUACAGAUUAUGUUGUAAAACAUUAAAGCAGAAAUUACUGAUGUGAAAGAGAACAUUUUGGAAGAUUUACAAGAGAUGGAACAAGUUUUGCCUGGUGUAGAAAUACCAAAAUAUAAAGAAUUUGUAAGCAUAGGAAAAUAAAUGAAAAUUAUGGACUGUAAGACAGAGAAAAGAAUUAAAGUAGAAGUACAAAUGGCAAAUGAAGAAACUGCCCUGGUUAAAGAUUAUUUUAUUGGACUCACAAAAGAAGUUUUAUCCUGACAGUAGGUUUUAAUACCCUACACUCACUGUAAACAAUAAAACACAUAAUUUACAAA
This is a non-coding RNA of Pantherophis guttatus, 806 nucleotides long. The record is from RefSeq and is a predicted model, not a curated record. Lineage: Eukaryota; Metazoa; Chordata; Lepidosauria; Squamata; Colubridae.